Molecule: ribosomal RNA, 836 nt
Filed under: uncultured bacterium
Lineage: Bacteria
Description: bacterial SSU rRNA
Rfam family: Bacterial small subunit ribosomal RNA
Source: RNAcentral
AGCGGCAGGCCUAAUACAUGCAAGUCGAGGGGUAUGGUUCUUCGGAACCAGAGACCGGCGCACGGGUGCGUAACGCGUAUGCAAUCUGCCUUUCACAGAGGGAUAGCCCAGAGAAAUUUGGAUUAAUACCUCAUAGUAUAGCGACAUCGCAUGAUGAUGCUAUUAAAGUCACAACGGUGAAAGAUGAGCAUGCGUCCCAUUAGCUAGUUGGUAAGGUAACGGCUUACCAAGGCAACGAUGGGUAGGGGUCCUGAGAGGGAGAUCCCCCACACUGGUACUGAGACACGGACCAGACUCCUACGGGAGGCAGCAGUGAGGAAUAUUGGUCAAUGGGCGCAAGCCUGAACCAGCCAUGCCGCGUGCAGGAUGACGGUCCUAUGGAUUGUAAACUGCUUUUGCACAGGAAGAAACACUGAUUCGUGAAUCAGCUUGACGGUACUGUGAGAAUAAGGAUCGGCUAACUCCGUGCCAGCAGCCGCGGUAAUACGGAGGAUCCAAGCGUUAUCCGGAAUCAUUGGGUUUAAAGGGUCCGUAGGCGGUUUAAUAAGUCAGUGGUGAAAUCUGGUCGCUCAACGAUCAAACGGCCAUUGAUACUGUUAGACUUGAAUUACAAGGAAGUAACUAGAAUAUGUAGUGUAGCGGUGAAAUGCUUAGAUAUUACAUGGAAUACCAAUUGCGAAGGCAGGUUACUACUUGUGGAUUGACGCUGAUGGACGAAAGCGUGGGGAGCGAACAGGAUUAGAUACCCUGGUAGUCCACGCCGUAAACGAUGGAUACUAGCUGUUGGGCGCAAGCUCAGUGGCUAAGCGAAAGUGAUAAGUAUCCCACCUGGGGAG